AUUCAAAUUAAAACUAAAUUAUAGUGUUUUAUUUACAAUAAAAAUUUGAUUAAUAUAUAAUCUAAUUUGA
RNAcentral lists this transfer RNA (70 nucleotides) under Hydropsyche gautamittra. RNAcentral describes it as "tRNA-Val". Lineage: Eukaryota; Metazoa; Arthropoda; Insecta; Trichoptera; Hydropsychidae. The record is from RNAcentral.